RNAcentral lists this ribosomal RNA (500 nucleotides) under uncultured bacterium. RNAcentral's name for it is "bacterial SSU rRNA". It matches the Rfam family "Bacterial small subunit ribosomal RNA", at positions 1 to 518 of the family's 1533-position model. The record is from RNAcentral.
UUAGAGUUUGAUCCUGGCUCAGGACGAACGCUGGCGGCGUGCUUAACACAUGCAAGUCACGGGGGCUCGCAAGAGCAACCGGCGAACGGGUGCGUAACACGUGAGCAAUUUGCCGAUUUCUGGGGGAUAGCCGGCCCAACGGCCGGGUAAUACCGCAUACGCUGGAGGAGGGGAGUCCCUUUUCCAGGAAACCUCCGGGGGAAAUCGAGGAGCUCGCGGCCUAUCAGCUAGUUGGCGGGGUAAUGGCCCACCAAGGCGACGACGGGUAGCUGGUCUGAGAGGAUGGCCAGCCACAUUGGGACUGAGAGACGGCCCAGACUCCUACGGGAGGCAGCAGUGGGGAAUCUUGCGCAAUGGCCGAAAGGCUGACGCAGCGACGCCGCGUGUGGGAUGACGCCUUUCGGGGUGUAAACCACUGUUGCCCGGGACGAAUUGCCUUUUUCGAGAGGCUUGACGGUACCGGGUGAGGAAGCACCGGCUAACUCCGUGCCAGCAGCCGC